CCCUUAGAUGUCCUGGGCCGCACGCGCGCUACACUGAUGCAUGCAACGAGUUUAUAACCUUGGCCUGAAAGGUCUGGGUAAUCUUUUGAACGUGCAUCGUGAUAGGGAUAGAUUAUUGCAAUUGUUAAUCUUGAACGAGGAAUUCCUAGUAAACGCGAGUCAUCAGCUCGCAUUGAUUACGUCCCUGCCCUUUGUACACACCGCCCGUCGCACCUACCGAUGGAAUGGUUCGGUGAAGAUCUCGGACUUCGAUAUUUAUUCUUUAUUGAGUUUAUAUUGUGGGAAGUUAUCUAAACCUCAUCAUUUAGAGGAAGGUGAAGUCGUAACA
This 328-nucleotide ribosomal RNA is filed under the name uncultured eukaryote. RNAcentral describes it as "partial 18S ribosomal RNA". It matches the Rfam family "Eukaryotic small subunit ribosomal RNA", at positions 1470 to 1796 of the family's 1831-position model. The record is from RNAcentral.